UGGGGAAUCUUGGACAAUGGGCGCAAGCCUGAUCCAGCCAUGCCGCGUGGAUGGUGAAGGCCUUAGGGUUGUAAAAUCCUUUCGUUGGGGACGAUAAUGACGGUACCCAAAGAAGAAGCUCCGGCUAACUUCGUGCCAGCAGCCGCGGUAAUACGAAGGGGGCUAGCGUUGUUCGGAUUUACUGGGCGUAAAGCGCGUGUAGGCGGAUUUGUAAGUUGGGGGUGAAAUCCCGAGGCUCAACCUCGGAACUGCCUCCAAAACUACAAGUCUGGACCUAAGUAGAGGCAAGUGGAAUUGCGAGUGUAGAGGUGAAAUUCGUAGAUAUUCGCAGGAACACCAGUGGCGAAGGCGACUUGCUGGACUUAUGGUGACGCUGAGACGCGAAAGCGUGGGGAGCAAACAGGAUUAGAUACCCAAGUAGUCCCUGAGCGGGCUGGCAAGGCGCAU
Molecule: ribosomal RNA, 447 nt
Filed under: uncultured bacterium
Lineage: Bacteria
Description: bacterial SSU rRNA
Rfam family: Bacterial small subunit ribosomal RNA
Source: RNAcentral